GACGAACGCUGGCGGCGUGCUUAACACAUGCAAGUCGAACGGAAAGGCCCUGCUUGCAGGGUACUCGAGUGGCGAACGGGUGAGUAACACGUGGGUGAUCUGCCCUGCACUUCGGGAUAAGCCUGGGAAACUGGGUCUAAUACCGGAUAGGAGCCAUUUUUAGUGUGAUGGUUGGAAAGUUUUUUUCGGUGUAGGAUGAGCUCGCGGCCUAUCAGCUUGUUGGUGGGGUAAUGGCCUACCAAGGCGGGGACGGGUAGCCGGCCUGAGAGGGUGGACGGCCACAUUGGGACUGAGAUACGGCCCAGACUCCUACGGGAGGCAGCAGUGGGGAAUAUUGCACAAUGGGCGCAAGCCUGAUGCAGCGACGCCGCGUGGGGGAUGACGGCCUUCGGGUUGUAAACUCCUUUCGCUAGGGACGAAGCUUUUUGUGACGGUACCUAGAUAAGAAGCACCGGCUAACUACGUG
RNAcentral lists this ribosomal RNA (466 nucleotides) under uncultured bacterium. RNAcentral's name for it is "partial 16S ribosomal RNA". It matches the Rfam family "Bacterial small subunit ribosomal RNA", at positions 28 to 507 of the family's 1533-position model. The record is from RNAcentral.